RNAcentral lists this ribosomal RNA (279 nucleotides) under uncultured bacterium. RNAcentral's name for it is "partial 16S ribosomal RNA". It matches the Rfam family "Bacterial small subunit ribosomal RNA", at positions 506 to 784 of the family's 1533-position model. The record is from RNAcentral.
UGCCAGCCGCCGCGGUAACACGGGGGGCGCAAGCGUUAUUCGGAAUUAUUGGGCGUAAAGGGCGCGCAGGCGGUCUUGUCCGUCAGGUGUGAAAGCUCGGGGCUCAACCCCGGAACUGCCCUCAAAACUGUCGAUCUAGAGACCGGGAGAGGUAAGCGGAAUUCCUAGUGUAGAGGUGAAAUUCGUAGAUAUUAGGAAGAACACCAGUGGCGAAGGCGGCUCACUGGCUCGAUACUGACGCUGAGGUGCGAAAGUGUGGGGAGCAAACAGGAUUAGAUA